AACCUGCCUGGUAGCGGGGGAUAACUAUUGGAAACGAUAGCUAAUACCGCAUAAGAGUAGAUGUUGCAUGACAUUUGCUUAAAAGGUGCAAUUGCACCACUACCAGAUGGACCUGCGUUGUAUUAGCUAGUUGGUGGGGUAACGGCUCACCAAGGCGACGAUACAUAGCCGACCUGAGAGGGUGAUCGGCCACACUGGGACUGAGACACAGCCCAG
RNAcentral lists this ribosomal RNA (216 nucleotides) under uncultured Streptococcaceae bacterium. RNAcentral's name for it is "partial 16S ribosomal RNA". It matches the Rfam family "Bacterial small subunit ribosomal RNA", at positions 123 to 334 of the family's 1533-position model. Lineage: Bacteria; Bacillati; Bacillota; Bacilli; Lactobacillales; Streptococcaceae. The record is from RNAcentral.